ACGAGUCCCAAAUAGGACGAAACGCACGUC
Non-coding RNA from Schistosoma haematobium, 30 nucleotides. Lineage: Eukaryota; Metazoa; Platyhelminthes; Trematoda; Strigeidida; Schistosomatidae. The record is from Rfam.